AGUACACAAUUCCAUGUGUGAACCCAAACUUUAACACAUCAAUAUCUCUCCAGUUAUAACUGAGUUAUACUUAUGAAAUUUGAUUGGAACUCUAUAGUAUACAAUACUAGAAAAUUGCAUUUUAGCUGCCAUAUUUAGCGUCGGUACGUAACUCCGACGCUAGUUAGCGUCGGUGUAACGUCGGUCAAGCUGACGCUAUGGUGACAAAUUUUAUUUUUCAAAUUUAUAAGCAACUAGCGUCGGAGGGGGAGACGCUGUGUUUUAGUGUUUUUCUAAUCGACCAAACGUGCUUUAGCAAAAGUGUGCGUACAAGUCUUGAUCAUUGUCCUGCUGACCCUCCAAGACCAAAAACUCACUCCUUCUACAAGGUUUUAACUGCUUCUGAUACUAGUACCCAUGGUGGAUUUUCUGUUCUUAGGAUCGCUAAUGAAAAAGUUGCCUUGGCUGUCCAAGCAUAUGAUUUGGUUGGAGAACAAUGUUGGUAAUCCCAGAACUUGAUAGGGAGGUUCAACUCUUUCGGAAAUUGAAGAAAAAGUUGUGAGGAAAGGCAAAGAGUAAUUGUCACAAAUUAUCAUAGGGACACACCAUGCAUAAAUUGCUUCCACUACUCUUGGACUUGACACUUCGUGUCCACUACUCAAGACAUGUAGCAAAUCCUUUUCUUUCUCAAAAUAGUUGGGUUUAUGCUUUACACUGUGUUUGUAUAGAAAUCCGUUUCAAUGGCAAGCCAACAAUAUCAACCUCAAUGCAAAUAUGACUUUUGUUCUUGAAGAGUUCAAGAAUUGCAUACUCCAAUAAAAGAUGGUGGUCAUUUCUGAUAGCUUUAAAAGAACUCGCAUUUUGUGGCUAGACUAGAUGAUAUCUACAAAAAUUCAAAGCUUUGUUUCUCCUUGAUAAAAAUUCUGAGGUCAUUAAGAUUUUUUUGUAUUUGUCCAUUUGUUUACUCAUUCUUUCAUGAUAAUUAUGGAUAUGGUCUAGUUUAGAGUCUAUGUUAGAUUGGUAAUCAUUUGUUCUUUUGUUGUAUUUAUAUUAUCAUAAUCUCUAGUUCAUAUGUUCUUUUAGAAAGAAAUCCUUAGUCGUUUUUAUUUCAUGAACUUUUCUCCCUUUACACCUCAAUAUAUAAUUUUUUUUUA
This is a long non-coding RNA of Cicer arietinum (chickpea), 1133 nucleotides long. RefSeq lists it as uncharacterized. The record is from RefSeq and is a predicted model, not a curated record. Lineage: Eukaryota; Viridiplantae; Streptophyta; Magnoliopsida; Fabales; Fabaceae.